GACGAACGCUGGCGGAGGGGGGAACACAGGCAAGUCGAACGGAAAGGCCCUGCUUUUGUGGGGUGCUCGAGUGGCGAACGGGUGAGUAACACGUGAGUAACCUGCCCUUGACUUUGGGAUAACUUCAGGAAACUGGGGCUAAUACCGGAUAGGAGCUCCUGCUGCAUGGUGGGGGUUGGAAAGUUUCGGCGGUUGGGGAUGGACUCGCGGCUUAUCAGCUUGUUGGUGGGGUAGUGGCUUACCAAGGCUUUGACGGGUGGCCGGCCUGAGAGGGUGACCGGCCACAUUGGGACUGAGAUACGGCCCAGACUCCUACGAGAGGCAGCAGUGGGGAAUAUUGCACAAUGGGCGGAAGCCUGAUGCAGCAACGCCGCGUGCGGGAUGACGGCCUUCGGGUUGUAAACCGCUUUCGCCUGUGACGAAGCGUGAGUGACGGUAAUGGGUAAAGAAGCACCGGCUAACUACGUG
This 468-nucleotide ribosomal RNA is filed under the name uncultured bacterium. Its description in RNAcentral is "partial 16S ribosomal RNA". It matches the Rfam family "Bacterial small subunit ribosomal RNA", at positions 28 to 507 of the family's 1533-position model. The record is from RNAcentral.